UACGUAGGUGGCAAGCGUUGUCCGGAUUUAUUGGGCGUAAAGCGCCCGCAGGCGGCUUGAUAAGUUUCAGGUGAAAUCUCCCGGCUCAACCGGGAGGGUGCCUGGAAAACUAUCAGGCUUGAGUCAUGGAGAGGGAUGUGGAAUUCCCGGUGUAGUGGUGAAAUGCGCAGAUAUCGGGAGGAACACCGGUGGCGAAGGCGGUUCUCUGGGCCUGACCUGACGCUGAGGAGCGAAAGCGUGGGGAGCGAACAGG
Molecule: ribosomal RNA, 253 nt
Filed under: uncultured bacterium
Lineage: Bacteria
Description: partial 16S ribosomal RNA
Rfam family: Bacterial small subunit ribosomal RNA
Source: RNAcentral